UACAGAGGCCCCAAGCGUUACUGAGAAUCACUGGGUUUAAAGGGUGCGUAGGUGGCGCGUUAAGUCCAUUGUGAAAGCCCUGGGCUCAACCCAGGAACUGCUUCGGAUACUGGCGCGCUUGAGGCUAGUAGGGGUCACUGGAACUGACGGUGGAGCGGUGAAAUGCGUAGAUAUCGUCAGGAACGCCAAUGGUGAAGACAGGUGACUGGGCUAGUUCUGACACUGAGGCACGAAAGCGUGGGGAGCGAACGGG
This 253-nucleotide ribosomal RNA is filed under the name uncultured bacterium. Its description in RNAcentral is "partial 16S ribosomal RNA". It matches the Rfam family "Bacterial small subunit ribosomal RNA", at positions 524 to 776 of the family's 1533-position model. The record is from RNAcentral.